CAGCGAGAGAAACACUCAGUCAUCUGAAUCUCAUCCCCUUUCUCCUACCUCUCCUCUGUAUCUAUCUCUUCCUCCCCCAAAUUCCUUCCCGUGUCGCCGAUCUCCAGCGAUCGGUCGUCACACCCCCACCCGUCCGCCGCCGCACACCUCGAAGACGACCGGUAAGGGUAUUGCUUGCGGCAGCGCUAGCUCGUCGACGACCGUCACUGGGGGCCAGAGAUGGAAGAUGCAGGGAUGGAGUUCCUCCUCGAUGCCGUUGACAGGUUCCCACUAGUUGAGGAAUUCGCGGACAGCCAUGAGCACCCAAAUCUGGUUCCUCUGGUUUUGUUGGCGAGCGGCGGAGUAGGAGAUGCAGUCCCUGGUGUAUCCAGUGCUGGCUCUGGUUGUGUUCAGCAAAUCGGCGGCCACGGAAAUGGCGAUGCGCGUGCUGGGGUCCAACGACGACCGGAGUCAUCCUCAACGAGGUCUGCGCAGUCGACUCAAGAGUCAAUCCGUAGGCCCCUGGGUGGACGAAAAGGUAGUGUGAGAACAAGGAUUCCUUUACCAUUCUCUGGGUACUCAUUUGAAAUUAUAGAUUGCUCGGAAGUUUCAGACUUGUCUUAGAUUACCUUAGAUGUGAUUCAGUUAACAAACAAAGAUAGAAACGACCACAAUUUCAGUGGUUCAGUGCCAUGACCAUGCUCCCAGGAAAAAUGUUAGAAGGCACAUAUUGCCGAUUGAAUUUCCACAUCCUAUGUACUCUCAGAGUAAUCAGAAACAAAACACAUAGAGAAAACAAAAGAAAAGCAAACUGAAAAGAAAUUCUCGAAUCUCUGAACUGCAGAUUAAGGCUGGGUAGUGCGCACCAGACAGAACACCAUGUCCGUCGAGAAUGAGUGCUAUGGAGCAGUCGGUUCGCAAAUACGUAGAGGAACCAACGGAAAGUGUUGUAAGGCCUGAACUAGGUUUGAGUUUUGAUUCACUGGGUGAGGCAUACAACUUCUGCAACUUGUAUUCAUGGGAAAUUGGCUUUGGUAUUAGAUAUGGGAAGAGUAGAUUGAAUGCAUAGAGGACCAAAUGCAUGUAGGAGAUCGUCUGCGGCUGCUCGGUGAGUUCUUGAUUUCUUAUAGUUUCAUUGUUUCGGCAUUGAUAAAGUGUUCUGACCAUGCGUUUUCUUUCAACAAAUUCAAGGGCAAGCCAGAGACGGAGAAUAGCAGGUCGUGCAGAUGCGAUUGUCAGGCCUUGAUUAGGUUGCUGCAUGCUGCGGACAACAGCUGGUAUAUUACAGAGCAUCGUGAGAGCCAUAACCACUCCAUGUCGUGGACGAUGGGUGAAAAGGUGCACUGGCCAUCACACACGCACAUAGAUGUGUACACUGGAUCUGAUAAAGCAGUUAAGGGAGAAUAAUGCCAAGAUGAUGAGCACACAACACAGUGAGAGUGCAAAUCACAUGCUGAAGACAUACAUGCCGCCGGCGAGUACAAUGCACGUUUUUGUGAGGCAGUACAUGAGGCUGCAGUUUGAACGCAAGCGAGAGGAAAGCUAUGAGGAGAAGAGGACGAUGAUUGGUGGAGCAGUGAGGAGGACUAAUUUGGCAAUAGAGCAUCAUGCAAGUCAGAUUUACACUAGAGCAAUGUUCUAAGAGUUCGGGCGUCUACUAAUUGAGGUAACAACCUACAAUGUCAACGAGAUAGAGAAGAUGAGGAAAUAUCUUACGGUUCACAACAACACAGAAAAAGGAGAAAAAUGGAGCAAGGCCGAGUAUGAAGUGAACAUAAAUGACGACCAAACGGAGUUUACAUGUGAAUGUGGUCAGUUCAAGCACACUGGGAUGUUGUGCAGCCAUGUUCUAAGGGCAAAUUUCCGAAGUAAAUUAUUUCCUGUUAGGAUGAAAAUGUGUUCCAGGACAGGACAACCUUUUUUGUUUUUAAUUUUUUUGUUUUAUGAAAUCUCACAGGUGAUGGAAAUACGUACUUCAUUUUGAGGAGAUCCUAGCUAAGCAUAUCGUAAAGCGGUGGACAAAGGACGCGAGGGACAUACUGCCCCAGGAUCUGGUUCAGUACCAGAAGGAUGGGUGAUGCGAGCGCAGCGGCGUUCAAUCACAUGUUUGCCGGGCUGGACGCUCUGCUGUUGAGUGAUGGUUUGGGUUUCGAGGACCAAAUGGCUGGGUUAACUCCUGUUACAUUGCCUGGCAAUGGAGAGAUUGCGUAUGUGGAUGACGGGUGCCGAUAAAUGCAAUAGUACUGGACACUCUGCUAGUGUGAAUGGUCUGCAUGGUCUAGAAGCACCAGAGAAGCAUAGGGGGGUGAGGAGACCGACAAAUUGCCGAGAAAAGACGCCGUAUGAGGGACUCAGUAAGGGCAUUAGAUUUUGCAGUAUAUGUCGGCGCAAGGGGCACAUAUGAACUGCAAGCCCUGAAACCCUGAAAGAGGUGAUUACCCGAAGAAGCCACGGAAGCCCGGCAGAUGCAAGAAUUGUGGUAUGGAAGGGGACCGUCGGACCACAUGCACAAGGCCUUUGGGUGUUGCCGCAAAAUGAAGUCUGAACUUUAUGUAAUUUUUAUUGAUGUAGUUCCGAGGAUUUUCUAGUGUGUUUAUGUGAGCAUUGCUCCAUGCUUGUUCCUCAACUUCGAGAGGAGUGAUGAGAACUACCUUUAGUGAAAAACUUUUUUCCUGGAACCUGUGUAAUAUGAUGUUUGGUGAGUUAACUACUUGUGCGUGUGGGUUGCUUCGGCAGCUGAUAUUCUCAUACAAGUAUUUAUGUGCUUGCUGAAGACUCGAUUUGAACUUCAGACUCAGGUGGCAUUUUAGCCCGGUGGCAAAAAGAUGGGG
RNAcentral lists this ribosomal RNA (2810 nucleotides) under Triticum aestivum (bread wheat). Its description in RNAcentral is "partial small subunit ribosomal RNA". The record is from RNAcentral. Lineage: Eukaryota; Viridiplantae; Streptophyta; Magnoliopsida; Poales; Poaceae.